This 513-nucleotide long non-coding RNA is filed under the name Homo sapiens (human). Its description in RNAcentral is "HSALNT0323302". The record is from RNAcentral. Lineage: Eukaryota; Metazoa; Chordata; Mammalia; Primates; Hominidae.
GCUCUUGGAGACGGGGGCAGAUCAAAUCUCCCUCUCUGUGCCAGCCAGUUCCCUGCCUUCCCCUCAGGGCGAUUCUCCCGCCCUCUCCCACUCUGUUCCCACUUCAGUCAUCUGCUUUGCACCUGCUGGUCAGGAGAAAAAAAAAAAAACAACACUACGGAGUCUCAGGUUAACGUCUUUCUCCAUAUUUAUUAACCGUCACUUUCAGUUUUGGAUGUAGGCUCCAGUCUGAAAGAGUUACAUGUUCUAGCCCUUGUAGUUACUAUCAUCUGUUCACCUAACAGUUACCUGCCUAAACCUUAACUUUUCCUAUUCUGCCUCCCACGCAGAGUGAAGGAAUCACACGCCGACGAUCCUGCUCCAGGCUUUGGCCAGUGGAAAUGUCACAAAAAUGAGUCUCCUGCCUUGACUUUAAAAGGACAAGGUCCCUUGAGGCACUCCAAGAUGUUUUCUACCAAAGGUAAUGUGGAGGAUCCUUUCACUGAAAGUAAAGAUGGAGUCUCACUCUCGUCG